This 611-nucleotide ribosomal RNA is filed under the name Linaria micrantha. Its description in RNAcentral is "eukaryotic LSU rRNA". The stretch from base 239 to 394 matches the Rfam family "5.8S ribosomal RNA". Lineage: Eukaryota; Viridiplantae; Streptophyta; Magnoliopsida; Lamiales; Plantaginaceae. The record is from RNAcentral.
UCGAAACCUGCAUAACAGACCCGCGAACGUGUGUUUUUACAUAAAGGGAGUCGUGAUUCGGGUCGGCGAAAUCCGGACCGAAUCCCGCCCCUUCGCACGGCCGACGCUCGCGUCGUCCGGGCUAACGAACCCCGGCGCGGAAUGCGCCAAGGAAAACCAAUAAAGAUGUGCCGCGCUGCCGUUUGCCCCGUUCGCGGGUUCCUUCGGUGGUAUUGCGGCCUCUCUUGAAAGUCAUAACGACUCUCGGCAACGGAUAUCUCGGCUCUCGCAUCGAUGAAGAACGUAGCGAAAUGCGAUACUUGGUGUGAAUUGCAGAAUCCCGUGAACCAUCGAGUCUUUGAACGCAAGUUGCGCCCGAAGCCAUUAGGCCGAGGGCACGUCUGCCUGGGCGUCACGCAUCGCGUCGCCCCUCCCAAUCCUUAGGGUGACGGGUAGGGGCGGAAAAUGGCAUCCCGUGUGCUCCGGCUCGCGGCCUGCCCAAAUGCGAUCCCGCAUCGGCGGAUGUCACGACAAGUGGUGGUUGAACACUCAAUUGUUAUAUUGUCGUGCCUAUCACCGCCGCAUGCAAGGGAAUCAAUUUGACCCAACGGCUCCUUUGAGGUGCCUUCGAC